UGUGCCUUUAUUUUGAAGAGCCCACUCUUAUUCUGUUACUUCCUUUAUUGCUGAUACUUGACUUCCUGCUGCCGUUCUGUCUGACUUCAACAGCAUACUCACGUUACUCCAGGACUGGUAAAACACGCUGACAAAGAUAUAUUUCUCAUAUUCUGUGUGAACAUUUGUGAGAGGUUAUUUUAUUGUGCCUCGUGUUUGUGUUGUUUAUAUGUCACAUUUAAGGAGAGUCACUCCGAGCUGUGUGUGGAAGCUAAGCUAACUAGCGGAGCAAACUUAGCGCCCUUGGAAGCGGAAGGAGUUUUCACGGUGUCAAAAUUGUGAGGAGAAAAGGAGGAGAGAAUUAAAGUUGCACCAGUCGAAGCUCUCUGCAUCUUGUGUCAUUAAUCCAAGUGGGCCGCUACAGUGAAAACUCCCCGGCUGCAACCAGUGACAACUUCUGGCUGCAACAGACCUGCCAUCCCUGCAGAGAAGCUGACGCCAUCUCAUCCGAGAUCCAGCUACCAACCUGUUACCAGCCAACUGACUCCAUUUGCACCCACAUCCUGCACAGGCAAGAUUAAAAGGACAGCACGCUAAAGGAAUUACCUGAAGUUCCUCUGGUGGACAGGCGGAGAUUUGGAGAAGGAACCACAGGAGUACAGGAUGGCGGUUCAUCUCUUCGGAGCCGCUUCGUCUCCAGGAUGUGCCAAUUUUGGUUUAAAGCAUCUAGCACGACAACACAAGGCUAGCUAUCCCCUAGCAUCAAUAUUUGUGGAGAAACAUUUUUAUGUUGAUGAUGGGUUAGUUAGCGUCCCAUCAAUUGAUGAGGCCAAGAAACUGAUCACUGAGUCGCAAGAGUUGUGCAAAAGAGGAGGCUUGCGCCUUCACAAAUUCAACUCAAAUGAAGAAGCAGUGCUCGCUUGCUUAGACCCCUCUGAAAAAGCAACAAACAUUGAGCCUCUAGGCUUUGAUCCAACCCCAUCAGAACAUGCUCUCGGCAUUCAAUGGUCGAUAAAGAAUGACACUUUCAGCUUUAACAUCAGCUUGAAGGAUCAGCCUUCAACCCGUCGUGGUUGUCUUUCUGUCGUCGCCUCU
Molecule: non-coding RNA, 1074 nt
Organism: Nerophis lumbriciformis (worm pipefish)
Lineage: Eukaryota; Metazoa; Chordata; Actinopteri; Syngnathiformes; Syngnathidae
Source: RefSeq, a predicted model, not a curated record